UUUCCCACUACAGCCCCGGAAAGCCAGUGCCACAUGCAGUUCGGCCACAGCAGCAGCCUCCAGUGGCUUGGAGGAGUGGACCAGCCGGUCCCCACGGCAGCGGAGUUCAGCCUCAUCACCCGAGCACCCUGAGCUGCAUGCCGAACUGGGCAUCAAACCCCCUUCACCAGGCACUGUCUUAGCUCUUGCCAAACCUCCUUCACCCUGUGCGCCAGGUACAAGCAGCCAGUUCUCGUCAGGGGCUGACCGGGCCACCUCCCCCCUCGUGUCCCUCUACCCUGCUCUGGAGUGCCGGGCCCUCAUUCAGCAGAUGUCUCCCUCUGCCUUUGGUAAGCCUCCUCUGUCUUGGGGUCAGGGACCACCUGGGAGUUAGGGAGAAACUGGAGGAAGAAGCAAGUCCAAAGAUUGGGCUUCUGGAGACUCUGGCUGUCUUCCUAAGAAAAGGAAUGAGGUGCGGGAUGGAGCUUUUCAGGCCCAAGGGAUGUGAGGGGGUCUCUGGGGGAUUUCUUAGUCCCAGGGGAGUGUCCUCCCUAGAGAAAGUAGAGGGGGACAAUGGGUGGGGUUUUUGUGCUCCAUGGGUGUCUGUCUUCCAGAGAGGAGUGGUAAAAAGGGGCUUGGAUGGGAUUUCUGCAGAGCCAGGGAUCAGAGAAGGGUGAGGAGAAGGUGGGCUGAGAGAGCUUGUCUCCACAUUGUCCUUCUCCCCAUUCUUUUGCCUCAGCAGGUCUGAAUGACUGGGAUGAUGAUGAGAUCCUCGCAUCGGUGCUGGCAGUGUCCCAACAGGAAUACCUAGACAGUAUGAAGAAAAACAAAGUGCACAGAGACCCUCCCCCAGACAAGAGUUGAUGGAGACCCAGGGACUGGAGACCAUCUCCCAACUCUACCACUCCUGCCCUCCGGUGCCACCCCAUCUUCUUUGGCUUUCUUCCCUUCUUCCCUCUCUCCCCUCCUCCCCACUUCCCUCUGGCUGGCCCACCCCUGCGCCCCUUCUCAUUGCUGCCGCCACCACCGCCGCCUGUCUCCGCCAGCUGACGUGCCCUGUUG
This 1041-nucleotide long non-coding RNA is filed under the name Dasypus novemcinctus (nine-banded armadillo). Its description in RNAcentral is "lncRNA (ENSDNOG00000050664.1)". Lineage: Eukaryota; Metazoa; Chordata; Mammalia; Cingulata; Dasypodidae. The record is from RNAcentral.